Molecule: non-coding RNA, 1497 nt
Organism: Solenopsis invicta (red fire ant)
Lineage: Eukaryota; Metazoa; Arthropoda; Insecta; Hymenoptera; Formicidae
Source: Rfam
UAUUAUUACGUUACGGUAAUUUCCGUAAUUUAACGAAAUAAAUUAUUUGAAAUGAAAUAAAUAGCAUUGUUGGUCGGCCAUCGCGAGAUCGCCCUUACACGUUUCGCUGAUCGCGUUUGCGCCUCUUAUAUUUAAUAAUUGAAAUUAUUUCAAUAAAUGUAAUUUUGCAUGUAUUAUAAGAGAAAAUAAAUAUUCAAAGCAUAUUGCGUAUCGGUCGUUCUGAUUUGUAUGCAAAGUAAUGUUAAAUUGAUUUAUAAUAAAAUCGAAUAAUAAUUAUCAUCGAAAUAAAAUAAAAUAAAACAUAAAAUGUAAAAUUUAAGAAAAUAAGAUAAUGAAAAUAAUAUAUGUGAUUUAAAGAAUGAUUAUCUACACGAAAUGUAAAGUAAAAUAAAGUAUAGUAAUUAUCCUAGUUUUGUAUCGCCGGUUUCUUAUCUUAUUUGUCAUUGCUGACGCGCGUUUGGAUGACAGGUUGCUGGUUCGCCUCUCUUCUGCUGCGUUGUCACGUAUAUUGGCGUGACGGCCCUCUGCGGCGUUGAGGGUUCUGCGUCGCUGUCUCUUUCUCUCGUUCUUGGCGUUGGCGUAUCCGCCCUGGUUGGUUGUUCGGUGUCGUUUUUGCUUUUUAUUUCCUCCAUGAUCGAUUCAAUUUUCGCAUCAGACAUAUUUUUGUCGGGGUUUAUGCUGGUUGAAUCGCCCUUUAGAAUCUCGCUGUAUAAGCCCUUUAGCAUCUGUAAUUUAAUCGGGAACAAAGUGAAAUUGCUGGUCGUCGGCGGUGACAAACUAGCCCUGAAAAUGGAUGGCGCUGAAUCGUUGAGCCUAUACUCUGCCGUCAGCGGCUGGUGGGGCGGUGCGAGCGCGCGAGCGCGAGCGCCGUCACGAGGCACUGACGAGUAGGAGGGUCGCGGCGGUGUGCGCAGAAGGGUCUGGGCGCGAGCCUGCCUGGAGCCGCCGUCGGUGCAGAUCUUGGUGGUAGUAGCAAAUACUCCAGCGAGGCCCUGGAGGACUGACGUAGAGAAGGGUUUCGUGUAAAAAGCCGUUGCACUCGAGUCAGUCGAUCCUAAGCCCUAGGAGAAAUCCUACGUCAAUGACGGCGUACUUAUACUCAAGUUUUUACUCUCUGUCUCGCACUGGCACACUCUCACUCGUCGCGCGUGACGCGCGCGCCCGCGUGCCGGGCGACGCUGUACGUCACGCUGAACGACGAGCUGUGUGCUCGCGAGCUCAAGUGUUCUGACACACGCCCGUAGGGCGAAAGGAAAUCCGGUUCCUAUUCCGGAACCCGGCAGCGGAACCGCAUACAAUUCGGGCCCUCGUAAGUGUGUUCGUCGGGGUAACCCAAAAUGACCUGGAGACGACGUCGGGAGAUCCGGGAAGAGUUUUCUUUUCUGUAUAAGCGUUCGAGUUCCCAGGAAACCUUUAGCAGGGUGAUAGGGUUUGGUUCGCGAAGAGCACCGCAGUUGCGGCGGUGUCCGGAUCUUCCCCUCGGACCUUGAAAAUCCA